CCCUUAGAUGUUCUGGGCUGCACGCGCGCUACCCUGAUGCACUCAACGAGUUUACGACCUUGCCCGAUAGGGUUGGGUAAUCUUUUUAAAAUGCAUCGUGAUGGGGAUAGAUUAUUGCAAUUAUUAAUCUUCAACGAGGAAUUCCUAGUAAGCGCGAGUCAUCAGCUCGUGCUGAUUACGUCCCUGCCCUUUGUACACACCGCCCGUCGCUCCUACCGAUUGAGUGCUCAGGUGAAUAAUUCGGACUGCAGCAAUGUUUGGAUCCCGAACGUUGCAGCGGAAAGUUUAGUGAACCUUAUCACUUAGAGGAAGGAGAAGUCGUAACA
RNAcentral lists this ribosomal RNA (326 nucleotides) under uncultured eukaryote. RNAcentral describes it as "partial 18S ribosomal RNA". It matches the Rfam family "Eukaryotic small subunit ribosomal RNA", at positions 1470 to 1796 of the family's 1831-position model. The record is from RNAcentral.